UUUAAAGAGAGUUUGAUCCUGGCUCAGGACGAACGCUGGCGGCGUGCCUAAUACAUGCAAGUCGAACGAACGGAGGAAGAGCUUGCUCUUCCAAUGUUAGUGGCGGACGGGUGAGUAACACGUGGGCAACCUGCCUGUAAGUUGGGGAUAACUCCGGGAAACCGGGGCUAAUACCGAAUGAUAAAGUGUGGCGCAUGCCACGCUUUUGAAAGAUGGUUUCGGCUAUCGCUUACAGAUGGGCCCGCGGUGCAUUAGCUAGUUGGUAGGGUAAUGGCCUACCAAGGCAACGAUGCAUAGCCGACCUGAGAGGGUGAUCGGCCACACUGGGACUGAGACACGGCCCAGACUCCUACGGGAGGCAGCAGUAGGGAAUCUUCCGCAAUGGACGAAAGUCUGACGGAGCAACGCCGCGUGUAUGAAGAAGGUUUUCGGAUCGUAAAGUACUGUUGUUAGAGAAGAACAAGGAUAAGAGUAACUGCUUGUCCCUUGACGG
Molecule: ribosomal RNA, 493 nt
Filed under: Listeria monocytogenes
Lineage: Bacteria; Bacillati; Bacillota; Bacilli; Caryophanales; Listeriaceae
Description: bacterial SSU rRNA
Rfam family: Bacterial small subunit ribosomal RNA
Source: RNAcentral